RNAcentral lists this ribosomal RNA (185 nucleotides) under uncultured bacterium. RNAcentral describes it as "partial 16S ribosomal RNA". It matches the Rfam family "Bacterial small subunit ribosomal RNA", at positions 1305 to 1500 of the family's 1533-position model. The record is from RNAcentral.
CUGCAACUCGCCUGCAUGAAGUCGGAGUUGCUAGUAAUCGUGGAUCAGAAUGCCACGGUGAAUGCGUUCCCGGGUCUUGUACACACCGCCCGUCACACCAUGGAAGUUGGGGCGCCCGAAGUUGGUCGAAAGAUAGAUUACCUAAGGCGAAAUCAAUGACUGGGGUGAAGUCGUAACAAGGUACC